Long non-coding RNA from Rhododendron vialii, 1769 nucleotides. RefSeq lists it as uncharacterized. The transcript has 2 exons. NCBI's taxonomy places the organism in Eukaryota, Viridiplantae, Streptophyta, Magnoliopsida, Ericales, Ericaceae. The record is from RefSeq and is a predicted model, not a curated record.
GGGCCUACUUUUUUGUCCAAUUUUAAGUAAUGGUUUGUUUAGAAAUUCAUAAACUAAGAACUAGGGAAAAUAGGUUUUUUUUUCCUAUGGUUUUAGAAUCUAUGUUUCUUCUACAAUCUAACUGAGCCUUGAUUACUUUUUUGGCUAUCCACUCCAUCUUUUCUCUCACUAAUUUGUGGUUCAUAUUAUCUAAUGAAGAAUGGCAUUACCCUUAAACCUAACAUUAGUGAGGUUUGUGGUUCAUGUUACGAAGAAUGUUAUCCAAUUUGUGGUUCAUCUUUUCUCUCACUAAUUUGUGGUUCAUGUUAUCUAAAAAGCAGCUCAAGCAACUAUUAGUGAGGUCUAAUGCAUUUCGUAUCCUAUUCUGCUUGUAGUGCACAGUCGUCUCCCAGCUCUGGAAAAGGAAGUGGUUAUGGAUUUGCUGACAAGGUUAGCCUCUGUCAUGUGCUGUUGACUUUCACUACUUGCCUCUCGGGCAGGUUAUGUAGCAUUUAAGGACAUAAUUACCUUAAACUUAAGUAUGGUUUAUGACUUGAUUGAUUUAUUUCGAGUAAACAAGUCCAUGUAGCCAUUCCAAUUACUUAUGCCAAAUGCUUAUUUAGUUGAGUGAUUAAGUGUGUUAAAUCUUGCAAUAACUAAUCUUAGGAAUGUGAUUUAUUUUGAUGUGUUAUGUGUCAUGGAAUUCGGAAAUGGAUGGGAUUUUUCCGGUAUUCCUUUCGUUCACCAUCUUAGGAUUCUUAGCAAGGGCAAAACAUUCAUAACCAUUAGUUACCGAUUAAGUGUGUGAGUGUAUUUGUAUCUGUGUGAGAGAGAGAGGUAUUGAUGGUGCAAGGCUUAUGAAAGGGUACUAGCCAUUAGUUACUUGUGUUCAUUCCAUAUGUGUGGCUUGCUAUACUAUUUUUAACCCCCUCGGUUCUGUAACCUGUUUAUGUUAUUAUUUUUAGUCUGCAAAAAAAAAGGAAAAAAAACGAUAAUUAGUAGAACGAGCUUAAGGUGGGACCUCUUGUGAUUCUGUGCUUCUUACCAUCUUCUGGUACUUAGAGCUUGGAUUAGCUUAGGGUUUCUCACUGUUAUUAUAACAAAGACAUCACAUAUAUUGAGAAUUGUUUUUCCUUUGAGUGAUGUUUCCUACUUCCUGUUGCCCUUCAUUGAUUUAUGAACUGCGCUCUGUUUGACCUUUUUUUGUCAGAUUGCUGAUUGAAUGGCAGUAUAAGUGCAUACUGUAAAUAUACUAAUAGAAGUCUUCCAUUGUACUCUUUUGGACACAUUGUUUAUUGAAUAUUUAGGCAUUUGAUCUUUGAUUGAACUUGAGUGCAAAGCAAUGCAUUGUCACUUAUCGAAUGAUCCCCUCUUCCUAUAAGAUGACAAAACUUGGUCCUCAUGCUCAAUGUCCUACUCCCUAGAUGGGUCAAUGUAUCAUCGGCGAGUCAAUUACUGGCAGCACUCUUGUGGCUUAGUCUGAGCAGCUACCUCAACAAAGCUUAGUGAUUGUCAUGAGGCACGAAUUCAAUCAGCAAGAUGGUCUUCCCAAGUUUGGAAAGCACAAAGCAGUUCAAAUUAUUUGUAGUUUACGCCCUGUAUCAGUUUUUCAUUCAAUGAAUUAAGCUAUCGCAAUGGGAAAAGAAUUGGAAUUGUAGCCUUUGACGAUGUCAAUUAACGGAUAACUCAACGGGCAUGACAGACGUGCAAGGCACGUCGCCAUGCACCUAGUGUUCACAAACAUACUUAUCGAAGUCCAAUCCAAACCCUAUGGACUGAAUUCCCAUCAA